AAGUUCAUGUUUAUGUUAAACAGAUCUACUAGUUAAACACAUACUUUCAACUUCCUCUUGCUGAGGUGAGAGGGUUUUCUGAUAAGAUUUACUCUUGGUAUGAGCUGAUAGGUUGUCAGGUUACAGCUAGAGCCAGCAGAACUCAGUAGGAACAUAUGCAAACCAUGGGCUGCCAUGCACACUGGACCCCUCACCCUAAGCCCUAGGAACUGGAGGGGCAGUCAGCUUGUUGUUAUGUUUUAUGUUUUGUUUUUGGUCAUGUUUAUCUCCUCUCUGCUGUAUGUGUGGUCACAAGGUUUUCUGUUUCACUCUCUAGAUACGGCACCCGUAACCAUGAUGUUUUUAAGAAACAGGGAAUUCCUGGGCCCAAACCUCUGCCAUUUUUAGGAACUCUGCUGAAUUACUAUGAGGGUAUAUGGAAAUUUGAUGUUAAGUGCUAUAAAAA
Molecule: non-coding RNA, 445 nt
Organism: Myodes glareolus (Bank vole)
Lineage: Eukaryota; Metazoa; Chordata; Mammalia; Rodentia; Cricetidae
Source: RefSeq, a predicted model, not a curated record